This 565-nucleotide long non-coding RNA is filed under the name Salvia miltiorrhiza (redroot sage). Its description in RNAcentral is "long non-coding RNA (SMIL_LNC002630)". Lineage: Eukaryota; Viridiplantae; Streptophyta; Magnoliopsida; Lamiales; Lamiaceae. The record is from RNAcentral.
UUGCAUCUGCGAUUCUUCAUGUUUAAUGAUAUUAAUUGUUUUAAUCCAUUAGAUAGUUGCAAAUAUUUAUUGGGUUAGAAUUAAUUAUAUAGCCAAUUGAACCGGCCAUCCGUAAUUGUGGUUUAGGUUUGAUUAGUGGUAAAUUGACACAUCAGGGUCAAAGGAAAAGCAGUCUUAAUUCAAUAAUCCUGCGUCAGAGUUUAUUGGUUUUGAAUCGGGUUUCUCUAGAUAUUAAUGCUGUCGGCUCAUUAAACUUAUAGAGCGUCUCUUACGGUUGUCAGUCGAUUAGAGUAGUAAUUAGUGAAGCGUCUUCCUGGUUACCGAAUAAUUAAGGAGAAAUAAGAUCACGUCAGAAGCGUCUUCGGUGAUUAUAACUGGUUUGUUUGCAUGAUUUAAAGUUAUUUUUGCAUCCAUGAUCGGAAUAAUUGAGCUAGGGUGGACUUAAUUGAUUGCUGGAAUUCUUUUAUUAAUUGUUGGAAUUUUUAUUCAUCUUUUAGCUAUUGGAAAAAUUGGUUUAUUUGGGUUUUAUUUAUUUAAUUUUAAGUUUAGUAUUUUCUAUAUUUUC